UGGGGAAUUUUGGACAAUGGGGGCAACCCUGAUCCAGCAAUGCCGCGUGUGUGAAGAAGGCCUUCGGGUUGUAAAGCACUUUUGUCCGGGAAGAAAUCCCCUGCCCUAAUACGGCGGGGGGAUGACGGUACCGGAAGAAUAAGCACCGGCUAACUACGUGCCAGCAGCCGCGGUAAUACGUAGGGUGCGAGCGUUAAUCGGAAUUACUGGGCGUAAAGCGUGCGCAGGCGGUGAUGUAAGACCGAUGUGAAAUCCCCGGGCUCAACCUGGGAACUGCAUUGGUGACUGCAUUGCUCGAGUAUGGCAGAGGGGGGUGGAAUUCCACGUGUAGCAGUGAAAUGCGUAGAGAUGUGGAGGAACACCGAUGGCGAAGGCAGCCCCCUGGGCCAAUACUGACGCUCAUGCACGAAAGCGUGGGGAGCAAACAGGAUUAGAUACCCUGGUAGUCCACGCCCUAAACGAUGUCAACUGGUUGUCGGGCCUUCAUUGGCUUGGUAACGUAGCUAACGCGUGAAGUUGACCGCCUGGGGAGUACGGUCGCAAGAUUAAAACUCAAGGAAUUGACGGGGUCAUAGCUG
This 578-nucleotide ribosomal RNA is filed under the name uncultured bacterium. RNAcentral describes it as "partial 16S ribosomal RNA". It matches the Rfam family "Bacterial small subunit ribosomal RNA", at positions 355 to 932 of the family's 1533-position model. The record is from RNAcentral.